AUUGAACGCUGGCGGCAGGCCUAACACAUGCAAGUCGAACGAGUGGCGGACGGGUGAGCAUUGUCUGGGAAACUGCCUGAUGGAGGGGGAUACCUACUGGAAACGGUAGCUAAUACCGCAUACCAUCGGAUGUGCCCAGAUGGGAUUAGCUAGUAGGUGGGGUAAAGGCUCACCUAGGCGACGAUCCCUAGCUGGUCUGAGAGGAUGACCAGCCACACUGGAACUGAGAAACGGUCCAGACUCCUACGGGAGGCAGCAGGGGGGAAUAUUGGACAAUGGGCGCAAGCCUGAUGCAGCCAUUCCGCGUGUAUGAAGAAGGCCUUCGGGUUGUAAAGUACUUUCAGCGGGGAGGCGUUACCCGCAGAAGAAGCACCGGCUAACUCCGUGCCAGCAGCCGCGGUAAUUC
Molecule: ribosomal RNA, 406 nt
Filed under: uncultured bacterium
Lineage: Bacteria
Description: partial 16S ribosomal RNA
Rfam family: Bacterial small subunit ribosomal RNA
Source: RNAcentral